UACGUAGGAGGCGAGCGUUGUCCGGAAUUACUGGGCGUAAAGGGCUCGUAGGUGGCCAACUAAGUCGGACGUGAAAUCCCUCAGCUUAACUGGGGAACUGCGUCCGAUACUGGAUGGCUUGAGUUUGGGAGAGGGAUGCGGAAUUCCAGGUGUAGCGGUGAAAUGCGUAGAUAUCUGGAGGAACACCGGUGGCGAAGGCGGCAUCCUGGACCAACACUGACACUGAGGAGCGAAAGCCAGGGGAGCAAACGGG
Molecule: ribosomal RNA, 253 nt
Filed under: uncultured bacterium
Lineage: Bacteria
Description: partial 16S ribosomal RNA
Rfam family: Bacterial small subunit ribosomal RNA
Source: RNAcentral